GCAUGCUGCAGCGACGCCGCGUGAGGGAUGAAGGCCUUCGGGUUGUAAACCUCUUUCAGCAGGGAAGAAGCGUGAGUGACGGUACCUGCAAAAGAAGCGCCGGCUAACUACGUGCCACCAGCCGCGAUAAUACAC
RNAcentral lists this ribosomal RNA (135 nucleotides) under uncultured bacterium. RNAcentral describes it as "partial 16S ribosomal DNA". It matches the Rfam family "Bacterial small subunit ribosomal RNA", at positions 381 to 528 of the family's 1533-position model. The record is from RNAcentral.